AGAGUUUGAUCAUGGCUCAGAAUCAACGCUGGCGGCGUGCCUAACACAUGCAAGUCGAACGAGAAAGUGGAGCAAUCCAUGAGUAAAGUGGCGCACGGGUGAGUAACACGUGACUAACCUACCCUUGAGUGGGGGAUAACUUCGGGAAACCGAGGCUAAUACCGCAUAAUACCUACGGGUCAAAGGAGCAAUUCGCUUUAGGAGGGGGUCGCGGUCGAUUAGUUAGUUGGCGGGGUAAUGGCCCACCAAGACAGUGAUCGAUAUCCGGCCUGAGAGGGCGCACGGACACACUGGAACUGAAACACGGUCCAGACUCCUACGGGAGGCAGCAGUGGGGAAUCUUGCGCAAUGGGGGAAACCCUGACGCAGCAACGCCGCGUGGAGGAUGAAGUCCCUUGGGACGUAAACUCCUUUCGAUCGGGACGAUUAUGACUGUACCGGAAGAAGAAGCCCCGGCUAACUUCGUGCCAGCAGCCGCGGUAAUACGAGGGGGGCAAGCGUUGUUCGGAAUUAUUGGGCGUAAAGGGCGCGUAGGCGGCCUGACAAGUCUUGUGUGAAAUCUUCGGGCUCAACUCGAAGUCUGCACGAGAAACUGUCUGGCUUGAGUGUGGGAGAGGUGAGUGGAAUUCCCGGUGUAGCGGUGAAAUGCGUAGAUAUCGGGAGGAACACCUGUGGCGAAAGCGGCUCACUGGACCACAACUGACGCUGAGGCGCGAAAGCUAGGGGAGCAAACAGGAUUAGAUACCCUGGUAGUCCUAGCCCUAAACGAUGAUCGCUUGGUGUGACGGGUACCCAAUCCCGCCGUGCCGUAGCUAACGCGUUAAGCGAU
RNAcentral lists this ribosomal RNA (829 nucleotides) under uncultured bacterium. RNAcentral's name for it is "bacterial SSU rRNA". It matches the Rfam family "Bacterial small subunit ribosomal RNA", at positions 8 to 868 of the family's 1533-position model. The record is from RNAcentral.